RNAcentral lists this ribosomal RNA (253 nucleotides) under uncultured bacterium. Its description in RNAcentral is "partial 16S ribosomal RNA". It matches the Rfam family "Bacterial small subunit ribosomal RNA", at positions 524 to 776 of the family's 1533-position model. The record is from RNAcentral.
UACGUAGGGCGCAAGCGUUAUCCGGAAUUAUUGGGCGUAAAGAGCUUGUAGGCGGUUUGUCGCGUCUGCUGUGAAAUUUCGGGGCUCAACCCCGAACUUGCAGUGGGUACGGGCAGACUAGAGUGUGGUAGGGGAGACUGGAAUUCCUGGUGUAGCGGUGAAAUGCGCAGAUAUCAGGAGGAACACCGAUGGCGAAGGCAGGUCUCUGGGCCACUACUGACGCUGAGGAGCGAAAGCGUGGGGAGCGAACAGG